This 468-nucleotide ribosomal RNA is filed under the name uncultured bacterium. RNAcentral's name for it is "partial 16S ribosomal RNA". It matches the Rfam family "Bacterial small subunit ribosomal RNA", at positions 28 to 507 of the family's 1533-position model. The record is from RNAcentral.
GACGAACGCUGGCGGCGUGCUUAACACAUGCAAGUCGAACGGAAAGGCCCUGCCUUUGUGGGGUGCUCGAGUGGCGAACGGGUGAGUAACACGUGAGUAACCUGCCCUUGACUUUGGGAUAACUUCAGGAAACUGGGGCUAAUACCGGAUAGGAGCUCCUGCUGCAUGGUGGGGGUUGGAAAGUUUCGGCGGUUGGGGAAGGACUCGCGGCUUAUCAGCUUGUUGGUGGGGUAGUGGCUUACCAAGGCUUUGGCGGGUAGCCGGCCUGAGGGGGUGACCGGCCGCCUUGGGCCUUAGGGACGGCCCAGGCGCCUACGGGAGGCAGCAGUGGGGAAUAUUGCGCAAUGGGCGGAAGCCUGAUGCAGCAGCGCCGCGUGCGGGAUGGCGGCCUUCGGGUUGUGAACCGCUUUCGCCUGAGACGAAGCGUGAGUGACGGUAAUGAGUAAAGAAGCACCGGCUAACUACGUG